UUCGUAGGCGGUGUGGCAAGUCGGGAGUGAAACCUCUGGGCUCAACCCAGAGGCUGCUUCCGAAACUGCUGUGCUUGAGUGUGAGAGAGGCUCGUGGAAUUGCAGGUGUAGCGGUGAAAUGCGUAGAUAUCUGCAGGAACACCCGUGGCGAAAGCGGCGAGCUGGAUCACUACUGACGCUGAGGAACGAAAGCUAGGGGAGCAAACAGGAUUAGAUACCCUGGUAGCCCUAGCCCUAAACGAUCAGGACUUGGGGUGCCGCCCGUUCGGGCGUCGUCCCGGAGCUAACGCGUUAAGUCCUGCACCUGGGGAGUACGGUCGCAAGACUGAA
This 330-nucleotide ribosomal RNA is filed under the name uncultured bacterium. Its description in RNAcentral is "bacterial SSU rRNA". It matches the Rfam family "Bacterial small subunit ribosomal RNA", at positions 568 to 898 of the family's 1533-position model. The record is from RNAcentral.